UCAAAUACAUCACUGUCUCCGUCCAAAGCACGAAGAGAUGAUUCGACAAAUCUUGCUGCAGCAUAUGCCAUUGAAAGGGUAGCAGAUCCUGCCCCAGCCUUUGCUUCCACAACUUCGGUUCCCCCAUUUUGAGUUCUAAUAGUCAGUUCUUGAAUUUGUUCGUCUGUAAAACUUACUGAAGGGCGUGCCUUUGAUAGCAAUGGAAGAAUUGUUAUUCCAGCAUGUCCACCAAUAACCGGGACAUCAACGUCAAUCAGUUUAAGGUUCUUCUUUUCAGCAACGAAAGUAUUUGCGCGGACAACAUCCAAUGUAGUAACCCCAAAAA
Molecule: long non-coding RNA, 325 nt
Filed under: Cucumis sativus (cucumber)
Lineage: Eukaryota; Viridiplantae; Streptophyta; Magnoliopsida; Cucurbitales; Cucurbitaceae
Description: long non-coding RNA (CSAT_LNC000037)
Source: RNAcentral